This 206-nucleotide long non-coding RNA is filed under the name Mytilus galloprovincialis (Mediterranean mussel). Lineage: Eukaryota; Metazoa; Mollusca; Bivalvia; Mytilida; Mytilidae. The record is from RNAcentral.
GGGGGUCAUAAAUCACUGGCUGAUGGUCAGACUACCUGCUGGGAUAAUUAAAGGUGAUCAACCAGGUGUUUUAAAUCUUUUAACAGGUAGAAGGUUUCAUGUCUUGAUUACAUAAUAUUUAGAUGUACAGGUAAAUUUUACCUGUGUUUGUCUUUGCAUUAUUAAGAAAAAAUACAACUUUUAUUAUGCUUUUCUGUUAUUUUGUC